Molecule: long non-coding RNA, 1181 nt
Organism: Chinchilla lanigera (long-tailed chinchilla)
Lineage: Eukaryota; Metazoa; Chordata; Mammalia; Rodentia; Chinchillidae
Exons: 3
Source: RefSeq, a predicted model, not a curated record
GGGGCUUGUGCCACUGAGCUAUAUCCCUGGCCCUAGAUUAGCUAUUUUUCUAGAAAUGUGUGUAUUUGAAAAAUUUACAUAUGACUCUUCUUUCUAGAAGCCAAAUUAUCCCAUCUCUUAUGUACAUAUUAGGACUCAGUCAUAAAGAAAAGGCAGAUUUAGAGAGGAAAAUUACUAAAUAGAUAAUUCUGGGAUAUUUAUUUUAUGUUUUCUUUGCUGAGAAGACUAGUGCCUGGUGCAUUUUGAAACUUAGAUACUAGAAACAAUAAUGCUGACUUGCGUUUAAGCCCUUAGCUUCUGGGCUGUGGACAUAGCUCAGAGGUGGAGUCCUUGCCUAGUUUGCACAAAGCUCUCAAGUUCAAUCCCUAGCACCACAAAUAAAAUUAAAUAAAUCCUUGGCUUUAUUUUAUUAAUCCUUUUUCUUUCUUUUACCUUUCUCUAGGAUUUUACCUCAUUAUUUUAAGAGUAUGCUGCAAGAGGCAGGUGUGCUGGUGCAUGCCUUUAAUCCCAGCACUCAGGAGGCUUAGGCAGGAGAAUCACUGAGGACCAGCCUGAGCUACAUAGAAAUCCUGAUGUGUCCUGGUUUGUGGAAUCAACUCCCAAGACCAAGAAAUGGAAAAGCCAAGCCAAAAGGAUAGGAUAUUUCAGGCUGGAAAGAAAUAUGCUGAAGCUGGAUGUGGUGGCUUACCCCUGUAAUACCAACAUUUUGGGAGGAUAAGGCAAGGGGAUAGCAAAUUCAAGCCUAGUCUAGAUAAGGGAGAUACAGCCUGCUCAAAUAGAGAAUUGCCUGGCCCCAUGCCAGAUCAAAUGAACUUGAACGUCCACUGAAGUUCUCAAGUGAAUCUUAGAAGUGGGUAUGUUGGAAAGACCUAAUUGUAUCUCAUUUACAAGAAAUAUCCAGGGGGUCAGGAUUUAGCUCAGUGUUGCAGUGCCUGCCUGGCAAGCAUGAAGUCCUGAGUAAGAUUGCAGGUACACCCCCUCAAAAAAAUAUCCAAACUAGGCAAACGUAUAGAGACAGAAAAUAAAUUAAUGGUUACUUAAAUUAGGGGGUGGGCCCUGGCAUAAUGGCUAAGUGGUAUAGGGUGGGGUUUUUGGGUGGGGGUGAUUAAAAUAAUCUAAAAUUUGUGGUUGCUAAAAAGAUUAGCAUUAAAAAGAAGCCAUGUUGGGGCUGGGAGUUUAGC